CAAACCAAAGUAUUUACGGGCACUUUCAUAUAUUGAAUGAUACAGGCCAUAUUUUUUCGUAGGGAUCUCUUCUGCAACUUCCCGACUCAAAGAAACCAAAUUCAUCAUAUAACCAAAACUGAUAAAUACUUCAAACAAGAAGAUAAGCAAAUACAGUUUAGCUGAAACUCGCCGCUAUCAAAGUCCAAAACUAGUCUAGAAAUACCAUCACCAAACAAUAAAACAGUGGCAAACUAGUCACAACCCGCAAACCACAAAGUAAGUUUAGAAAAGGAUACUUUAAAGUCUUAAAUACGAAUCACUGGAUGAGACAUGAGACACUUCUUAAUAUGCUUUACUAAGCCAAAAGUGCCAUAAUACUUCGGAUGACAAUUAUAAACUCGACCACAAUGAAGGCACUUUAUUUUGCGGGCUUCUUCAUUUUCUUCAAUUAGCUCAAAAUAUUCCCAAAUAGGUGAUCUAGCUUUAGGACCGUGAGGAAUGGUUGAACCUACAAAAUAAGAAAAGAUCACAAGUUAAUAAAAUAUUUUUAAUUAAAAAUAACAAAAGGAUAUCAUAAAACAAGCAAAUUUUUUAAACUUACCACUUGUUCAAACUAUGCAUCAACAAUGCUAGUAUCUCUUUCAACAAUGCAAGUUUCUCUUCCGCUCUUUCCCAUAUCUAAAUAUAAUUUGAUAAAGUGUGUCAUUUAAACUUACAAAGUAAACUAAUUUUCACUAAAAUACUCAUAAAACGCAAAAUCUUACCAAGUUCAAUUUGCUCAAGAAACUCCAAAUCUUCUUCAAUAUUAAUAGGAGUACCAUCACAUCUAAGCCAAUAUUGAACACAAACAAGACUUUGCACCAAUCGAGGAGUCAAUGAACUCCUAAAUGAAUCAAGAAUGCGGCCACGGUGCUAAAUGCACAUUCCGAUGCAACACUAGAAAUUGAAAUGGCUAAUACAUCACGAGCUAGCUUAGAUAGAAUAGGAAAUCGAGGCGCAUUAAUUUUCCACCAAUCUAAGAUUUUAAAGUCAUCAGAAUCAUCAGACAAUGGCUCUUGUCCUUCACCAAUAUAUCUUUUCAACUCAGAUUUAGCACCUACACUUUCGAAGUCUUCCUUUUGCCUUUUCAAUAAUUGCUUUAUUCUCAUAGAUUUUGUUCUCACAUUAGAUGAAUCAGAUGUUGUCAUCAGAUGAAGUAGAUUUAGAUGGAGACGAUUGAAGAUAAAAUCCUUUGGAAUAUAUUUUUUGAUACUCCCCAAACAAAGAAUUCAAAUAAGCAUCCACUUCGGCGGCUAAUUUCUUCCCUGGUUCGUUUCCGAAUAUUUCCUCAAGUGCAAAACUAACAUACUCUAAUUUGUUAUGAGGAUCUAAUACAAAAGUAAUGAAUAUCAUUUUAUUCAUCUUUUCAGGUUCACUCUAAUAUUUUUUAAACUUUUCUUUCAUAUUCCCCGCCAUCUUACUCAAAUUAGUAUCAUCACUAGCUAAACAAGCUUUCAAAUGACUAUCAAGCUCACAUAUAUCCUUAAAAUGACAAUUAGAAGUGACAUAACGUGAACCUGAAAAUUUUUCGGUGGGUUCGUGAAAUCAUUCAAGAAACUUUAUCACGUUUCUCACAUUCACCCAAUCAUCACAUACAAAUAGACCUGCAACAUUCCCAUCCUCACAAAUAUACGUACAAAGAUGAGUAGAAAAUCCAUCAUUAAAAAGAUGAAGCUUGUCAAAGGCCUUCUCAAAGUUUUGCGCCGUUUCUAACAUCAAGUAGGUUGAAUUCCACCUAGUAGGAAUAUCCAAACACAAUGUUUUGCUACAUUCUACCUCUUGAUGUGCCCAACAUUCCCUAAACUUUAAGGUCCUUUGUGGAGAUGAUCUCACAUACUUCACAGCUUGUCUAAUACGUUUUACAGAAAUAUCAAUUUCCUUCAAACCAUUUUGCACAAUUAGAUUAAGUAUGUGUAACGACCCGACAUGUCAUUUUAAGAAUUUAAACCCCGUCUGGCGGCAUAAGGCCCUGAGCAGCUUCUUAUUAUGUGUAUUGACUUGCGUACAUGGUUGAAUUCAGUUACCGGAUGAUUCUGAGUGAUUUGGAAAACGUGGUCCCCAAAACGAAAACUUAAGUCUUAGGAUUUUUACCGUAGCCAGAACUGUGUGAAGACGACUCCGGAAUAGAAUUUUGAUGAUGUCAAUAGCUCCGUAUGAUAAUUAUGGACUUAGGAGUGUGUCCGAAAAAUUAUUUGGAGGUCUGUAGAGGAAUUUGGCUUGAAAUGGCGAAAGAUGAAUUUUUGGAAAGUUUGACCGAGGGGUUGACUUUUUGAUAUCGGGGCCAGAAUCCGAUUCUGAAAAUUGAAAUAGCUUCGUUAUGUCAAUUAUCACUUGUGUGCAAAAUUUGAAGUCUUUCCAAAUUGAUUUGAUGUGUUUCGGUACAAGAUAUAGAAUUUGAAAUUUUAAAGUUUAUUAGACUUGAAUUGAGGUAUGAUUCGUGACUUUGAUUUUGUUUGAUGUGAUUUGAGGCCUCGCGCAGGUUCGUAUUAUGUAUUGGGAUUGGUGGUACGAUUGGACGGGGUCCCGGGGGCCUUGGGUUUGAUUCGGGGUGGUUCCGGACCAAGUUUGGGUAUUUUGAUGUUGCUGGUUGCUGGUUCUGGUGUUGUUCUUCGUGUUCGCGAGGAGCCUCUCGCGUUCGCGAAAAAGGAUUUUGCUGUUGGGACUUUGUUCUUCGCGUUCGCGAAGAGGUUCUCGCGAUUGCGAAGAAGGAAAUUUUACUGUUCGUUGUCUGUAUUUAGAGGCUCAUAUCUUGCAAUCUAUAAGGAAUUUGGCGAUGAUCCAAAAUUUAAAAUUAUAGCCUUUUCUGUCUAGUUUUCAGAAAGGUAAACUAUUUUGAAUUUGAAGUUGUGUACAAAAAGUUAUAGUGGAUACACUAUAGGCUGUCCGGGAAGAGUUUGGAAAUCUCUGUUGCACAGGGCUAAUUUUGGAAGCUUAUAUCUCGUAAUCUAUAAGGAAUUAGGAGAUGAACAACAAAUUAUAGUUAUAGCUCAUAGAGUCUAGUUUUCAGAAAGUCAAACCAUUUAUCAUUUGGAGUUUUGUACAAACAGUUAUGACCAUUAUACUAGAGGCUGUCUGAGAAGAGUUUGAAGAUGACUUUUGAAGAAUUUGUUCAUCGCGAACGGGAGGGGAGUCUCGUGAACGCGAAGAACAAACCCCUGGGCAGCAGAAUAAAGUCCAAAUUCGUGUCAUUCUUCCAUUUUGGACCAAGGAAGAUCGGGUGAGACGAUCUUUCGAGAGUUUUUCAAGAAAAAUAUUGGGGUAAGAAUUCCUAACUUGAUUUUGGUUAAAUUACAUGAAUCUAUUGUGAUUUUUAUCACUAAAUUAGUGAAUUGGGUUGAAAAAUUUAGAAAAUCCUCUUGGUUUAAAUUUAAGAUUUGGAGGUCGAUUUUUUAUUGGAAUUCGAUAAAAUUGGUAUGGUUGAACUCAUAUCGGAAUGGGUGUUCAGAUUUUAUGAAAAUUAUAUCGGGUUCCAAGAGGCAAGCCCCGCAUUGACUUUUAUUGACUUUUUAGAAUAAAAUUUUAAGUCGACGUAUUAUUAUCCGAAAUUAUUUUCGAUGAAGUUUAAUGAAGUUAUACAAUUAAUUUGGAUAGAUUUGAGCUGUCCGGAGGUCAAUUCAAGCAAGAAGGUUAUUUUGGAAUAUCGGCCUAACUUCAAAAAGGUAAUUGUCUUGCCUAACCUCGAGUGGGGGAAUUACCCCUUAGGCAUCGAGUCUUAUGUGCCGUUUGUGAAAUGUGAAAAGUCGUGUACGCAAAAUAUAUUGGGUUUAAGUCUUAGGCAUAUUGUAUAGUAAAUUGGAUAAUUGUUGGCAUUUAUUUAAUCAUCUAUUUGCCAUGCCUAAAUCCUUAUUGGUUGAACUUGUUUUUAUAUAACAAUUUGAUGUGAUUGUUAUUUUAAUAUUUAUAUAAUUCCGUGAGUUUAUUGGUUUGAUAAUUCUGGGAAUUUAAUUUCAUUUUGAAUUUUUCCUUUGCAAAUAAUUAAUUAAGCAAGUUUAAGAAGACGCGUUAAUAUAAUUAUCUAAAUUUGGAUUAAUGAAGGCUUUCAUUUAUGCUGAAUAAUUUCUAUCUUUGUUGAUUGUUUUUGUGGUGUUAUACACAUUGUGUGGAACCUUCGGCUAUUUGUUGUAAAAUUUAUUGAUUUGAUUUUAUCUUUGGAAUUUGGUUGUGGCCAUUGGGCAAAUUGUGAUAUGAAUUGAUUUUGUUAUGUUGUCGUGAUAAUUUUUCGUAUAAAUUAUUGUGUUGUGUGAGUUGUUAUUUUGAGGAUAUAAGGGUGGCAUUUCACUAUUGUUAUUUUGAGGAUAUAAGGGUGGCAUUUCACUGUUGAUAUUAUGUGGGUAUAAGAGUGGCAUUUCACUGUCGUUGUGUUUGUUGGAAUAUUGUCUGGGCGGAGCGAUAAGGGUGGCUAUAGGAGCGAUAAGGGUGGCAAUAGGAGCGAUAAGGGUGGCUAUUGAUAUUGUAUGGGCGGAGCGAUAAGGGUGGCUAUAGGAGCGAUAAGGGCGGCAAUAGAAGCGAUAAGAAUGGCUAUUGUCAGGGACGAUAUGUGAUGAUGUGGGGUUGUGGUGUUGAUAAUUUUUAUGUGAUGUUGGGAUUUUCUUAUGUUUAUUUUUAUACUUUGUGCCAUUUGUCUUAUUGUUGGUAAAUUGAUAACAAUCUGAUUUAUGUUGAAAUUAAGAGCCUGAGGCUAUUACCAGGAAGAUUAUAAAAUAAAAUGUGGGCACGAGGUGCCGUGAGUAAAUAAUGAGGAUAUUCAGCACGUGAAUUGUUCGUGCAGUUGUGAUAUGAAAUGUGGGCACGAGGUGCUGUGAUGAAAUGAUAAUGAUAAUUGGCACGCGAAUUGUCCGUGCAGUUGUGAUUUGAAAUGAGGGCACGAGGUGCCGGGAAAAUAUGAUGAUUAAACUAUGGGCACGAGGUGCCGUGGAAAUAUAAAAAUUGGCUGAGACCCAUAUUUUUACGAUUAUGAAAUGAGGUGUCACAUGAUGACUUUUUAAUUGAAAGAAUUAUAUUCAAAAUAUUUAUUUGAAAGGAUUUUCAUUCAAAAAGAAUUAUAUGAAAGAAUUGUAUUUGAAAGAUAUUUAUUUGAGAAAAUUAUAUUUGAAAAGAUUUAUUGAAAGAAUUAUAUUUGAAAAAUAAUUAUUUGAGAAAAAUUAUAUUUGAAAGAGAGUUAUCUGGAAGAAUUAUAUGUGAAAGAUAGUUAUUUGAAGGACUUGAUUUAAUUGGGUGUAGUUGUAUUUAUUAAUUAUUGAGUGAUAUUAAUGGUACUCUUGUUGUCUAUUGUGCAUAUCACUGGUUGUUUUAUCCUGCCCUUAUUGUUAUUUGUUUUCUAUUAUUUUGUAUAAUAUAUAUUGCACAGGUUAUUAGACUAGUGAGUGUCUUGAUUGUACCUCGUUUCUACUCCACUGAGGUUAGUUUUGAUACUUACUGGGUACCGACCGUGGUGUACUCAUACAAUACUUCUGUACAUUUUUGUGCAGAGCUAGGUAUUGGAGAUAUCGGACUUGAGCAGAGUUAAAUCGGGAUCGUAAGGAUUCAAGGUAGAGCUGGUUGGCCGUCGCAGUCCCUUGGAGUCUUUUCAUUUCAUUGUACUGUUAAUUUGUAAUCAAAGAAUAUUGUAUAUUCGGUCCUCGUGAUCAUUCCAUGUAUUCAGUUAAAGUUCGUGACUCAGUACUACCAGUCUUGGGAGGUUAUAUAUUCAUAUUUAUUCCGAUGUUAGUUUUUAUUACUUAGUUUUAAAAAGCAAAAAUGGCUUCAAAAUGCAAUUGAAAACGGCUUACCUAGUCUUAGAGACUAGGUAUCAUCACGACGCCUAUGGUGGAAUUUUGGGUCGUGACAGUAUGUGAGUCAUGCAUCUCACAUGAAGAUGCUUACCAUUUAUCGAAUUAGUUUUCCGCAUAUCUAGUUGUUUAAACAAUUCUUUGAUCGUGACAUCAUUCGAAGAAGCAUCAUCUAUAGUAACAGUGAAUACCUUAUCCAAUUUUCAUUCAAGCAAAUAAUUACCAAUAACUUUUGCCAUUUUGUCACCCUUAUGACUAUCGAUAGGGCAAAAAUAUAGUAUUAUUUUAUGCAACACCAAAUCUCUAUCUAUCAAAUGACCCGUCAAACACACAUAGUUAAUUCUUUGUAACGAAGUCCAUGUAUCUGUGGUAAGUAAAUUUUUGGUUUUACUUCUCUGAAAAUUUUCAUUAGUUUAAGCCUCUCUUCACUGUAAAUUUAAAAACAAUCUCUUGUAAUUGUCCUACGAGAAGGAACAUUAAAUAGAGGUUGGGCUAUGCUCAUAAACUUCUUAAAGUCUUUCUUUUCAACAAAGCUAAAAGGUAAAUCCUCCGUAAUUACCAUCUCAACUAAAGCCCUCCUAACUAGUUCUUGAUCAAAUUUUCAAAGCACCCCGCCAUUAAUUUUCCCAUCCUUUUGUAAACACAUUUGUGUUUGAGUAUUAUCAAAUUUCCGUGGUAUUUUUGGACACUUUUUUAAAUGAGUAUUCAAUGAUGUUGUUCCAUACAAUUGUGAAUCAGCCUUAUAAUCACGACCACAAUGUUUACACUUUGCUCUAUCACCUCUAUUAUCAUAUUUAAACUUUUAAAAAUGAUCCCAAGAUAUUGAUCUACAUUGUACGGAUUUUCUUUUUUUGGGGCCUUGACUAGUUUCAACUGAAUUUGUAGGUGAAGAAGUAGGUUCACUUUCAGAUGAACCCACCUCACUUACUCUACUUUCAACUUCUGCCAUCUAUACAAAAUCGAAUGAAAACAGACUUAAAAAUGCAAACUGGUAUACAAUAUAAAUCUAUCAUGUCGCAACUCGCAUAAAAUUAAGUAGGCACAGAGGCAAAAAGAAUAAAAGAACAAAAGAACAACAGCAAAAACAGAGGCAAAAAAACAAAAGAGGCAGUUGUCACUUCUUUUUGGCAAAUAUUAACUCGAAAGAGUCCUAAAAAUAAGAGGCAAAUGCGCAUAUAUACUAUUAUACUAUAAACAAGAGCAGAAAAUUGAAAGUUGAAAGAAACCAGCAGGAAGAGCGACGAGGGAAAACUGAAAAGGAACUGAGAAGAAGGAGGUAACCACUAACCUGAGGAUGAAGGAUGAAUGACGAGCGGAGGACGAAGGCGUCACAGGCUCACAGCAGUCGGGCGUCGCCACAGUCGCACAUAGGAGGAAGGAAGUCGGGACUCUCAAGUCUCAAGAACAAGAACCCUAAUUAGAAAUAAUUUCUAAUUUCUAAGGAAGGGAAUUAGAAAAGUAAUAUAAGUCUAUGUUGGGUUAGGUACUGGUAUUGGGUAAAUUGGGUUUAAGAUGGGUAUUGGGUAGAUUGGGCUUCGGAUGGA
This 7333-nucleotide long non-coding RNA is filed under the name Nicotiana tabacum (common tobacco). RNAcentral describes it as "long non-coding RNA (NTAB_LNC007027)". The record is from RNAcentral. Lineage: Eukaryota; Viridiplantae; Streptophyta; Magnoliopsida; Solanales; Solanaceae.